GAUGAACGCUGGCGGCGUGCCUAAUACAUGCAAGUCGAGCGAACGGACGAGAAGCUUGCUUCUCUGAUGUUAGCGGCGGACGGGUGAGUAACACGUGGAUAACCUACCUAUAAGACUGGGAUAACUUCGGGAAACCGGAGCUAAUACCGGAUAAUAUUUUGAACCGCAUGGUUCAAAAGUGAAAGACGGUCUUGCUGUCACUGAUAGAUGGAUCCGCGCUGCAUUAGCUAGUUGGUAAGGUAACGGCUUACCAAGGCAACGAUGCAUAGCCGACCUGAGAGGGUGAUCGGCCACACUGGAACUGAGACACGGCCCAGACUCCUACGGGAGGCAGCAGUAGGGAAUCUUCCGCAAUGGGCGAAAGCCUGAUGGAGCAACGCCGCGUGAGUGAUGAAGGUCUUCGGAUCGUAAAACUCUGUUAUUAGGGAAGAACAUAUGUGUAAGUAACUGUGCACAUCUUGACGGUACCUAAUCAGAAAGCCACGGCUAACUACGUG
This 497-nucleotide ribosomal RNA is filed under the name uncultured bacterium. Its description in RNAcentral is "partial 16S ribosomal RNA". It matches the Rfam family "Bacterial small subunit ribosomal RNA", at positions 28 to 507 of the family's 1533-position model. The record is from RNAcentral.